Long non-coding RNA from Acanthopagrus latus (yellowfin seabream), 6914 nucleotides. RefSeq lists it as uncharacterized. The transcript has 3 exons. The record is from RefSeq and is a predicted model, not a curated record. NCBI's taxonomy places the organism in Eukaryota, Metazoa, Chordata, Actinopteri, Spariformes, Sparidae.
CCACGUCUGGAACUUUUUAAAAUACAUGAAUGGAAACAGAAAAGUAUUGAUUUCUAUCAGUUAUCUGUUGCAAGAGGCAAGUAAUCAUCAAUAAUCAUCAAUAAUGGGGCGCCAUUUGGCUCAGUUGGUAGAGCAGGCGUCCCAUGUGCAGAGGCUUUGUCCUCACUGAGGCGGCUCUGGGUUCGAGUCCCGGCCCGGGACCGUCUGUCUUUUGACUUCGGUAAACAGAAGAUAAGAGCUUAAGAAUGAUAACGAACAGGUGAGUCAGUGGUAAUAAUAAUUACUUUAUACUGCUGCAACCUGGUGACACAAACACACACAACUACAGACGUCUAACAGACAACCAAUGAAAAUCAACAUCGGUUAAAGUUGACAAGCUGCUUCUCAGAAAAACCAGAGUGAGAAGAUCUAACAACAGUCCUUAUAAACAAAUCUCAUAGUUUAUCCUUUUAAACUCUUAAAACUCAGUUUAAUCAACACGUCAAAGAUCCUCGCAGCACUCUUCAGAGUGUUUCUCCAGCAAGCAAUAUUCAUCUGACGUCCUCCUUUGCUGCUGUAAUAAUCACUGUGGCCACUAGAGGUCGCCACCGAACAACAGACGUACACCUGGGCUGAAUAAUCGUCUUUCACAGUUGAUGUAUUUUGUAGUUUCCUGACGAGGAUCGGCUGCAAACAUUGAAACUUGAUAUUUUAAUGCUGUGACACAGCUGUGUUUAUGUUGGUCAGGCUGAGGAAGAAUAAACACUUGAUUAUCUUUUGGAAAUGUUAAACAUACAAACUCUCGUGACUGGACUUGGACAUCCUUGCUGCGCCAAGUCAAACUGAGUAGAACCGGGCCGGGAGACGUUUGUAGGAAAACAGCACUGUGGAGACCUAAACUGGUCAUUUAAAACUGAACCGUGAUGUAUUUUUAACCCUAACCAAGUGUUUUUUGUGCCGUAACCUCACCGGAGCACGAAGACGUUGUGACGUGAAACUUAUCUCACAUCUAUUCUGGUGAUCGAGCUGACGGACGACAACCGGCAAACACAUCUGAGCAAAAACAACAGCGACAUUAGUUUCUUUGUUUACAGCGUCAGUCGGACUAACAACACACCUUUCAACACAACAUAAAUAAUAAAUGUAGUUUUAUUAUCGCUCAUUUCGUCGUGACGUCCGGCUGCUGUUACGUGGACGUGUCCUCGUCCGUCCUCCGCUGUGAGUCGAGAAAACAAACAGGCUGUGAAAGUGGAUAAAGAGCCAAAUGAUGAUUUAUGAUUUUGAACACUUCCAGCAUCUCUGUGUGUUGAGUUUCAUAUGGAAAUCCCUUUUAGCACGGCGGGUAAAUAGAUUACGAUACAGUGAGGGAUUAGGGACUGCCUCGCCGCUGGCCCACUAAUCCCGAGCACAGACUGUCAACAGCCCUGACAUGUCCGGGACUCCUUCUGCACAAAAUGGCUCCUCGGCUGUUUAAGAAGCCAAUCUAGAGACGCACACCCCUCCACCUCCACCAGCCGCAGCACCUCCUCCACCUCCUCCUCCAUGAAUAUUCCUAUCGGGGCUGUCAGCGGCGGGAAAGACAAUGACGUUCGUCUUCAAAGGAGGGAGAUUAGAUGCUGCACGAGACAAAACGAGACUCUUUGAAGUGAUUUCGCUUCACAUUCCACAAACUUUCUCUUUUUUCUUUUUCCCGUACGGAGAGAAAAGUUGGUGUGUUUUUAUUUCCCGAAACUUGUGACAGAGUUCGGCACUUUCAGUCCGAGGGCACGAAUCACGUCUUUAAUGAUGCUCAGCUCGUCGUAGGUCCGACCCGCCGGCUCGCUGCUCGCCUGGUUUUAUUUUAAUCGGGUUAUAAAAUCCUCUGAAGCGGCUUCAUCACAUCACAGGACAAUAAAACAGACAUUCACGUGUCUGCGAGGAUCAGUUUCAUCUCUUCAGUGUAGAAAAGUGAUGAUGUUUAACGUCCUGAUCUGAUCCGAUACGUAAACAUGCUGUAAAAUAUACGUUACGUAUGCGGAAUAACACUUUACAGAAGUGUUAACAUCAAGUUAAUGAACUUGUAACUUAAAGCUGUGAAAUAACUAAAAAUGAGCAAAUCAUAAAAUAUACUACUCUGACAUGUUGUGGAGUAAAAGUAAAAAAUGACAUAAGAUAUAAAUACUAAGAUAAAAUAUGUUAACAUGCUGUAAAACAUACGUAACGUAUGCAGAGUAACACUUCACAGCCGCGGUGGAAAUUCAGGGAUUUUCACAUUAAUUUUUCAUUUUUUUCUUUAGAUUCAUUCAAACUGUCAUAAGAAAAGUUUAUAACUGCUGUAACGCAUCGUUACUGACUGGCACAGAGGAAUGACACCUUUAGAUAUAAAGUAGAUAAACUUCAAAUUUUUAUUUACUUCAUUCCUUUUGUCAUUAUUAAGUCAGGUUAAUGUUUAAAGUACCUCUGAAGUGUUACUGUGCAUACGGUACGUAUGUUUUACAGCAUGUAUACGUACUUUACUUUUGUUUUCUUAUCUUCAGCCACUUUUUACAUUUACUCCACUACAUGUCAUUUUAAUUUACUUCAUGCAUUUUGUCAUUAUUAUUAUUAAUAUCAUUAUGAGCGAGGUUAAUUUUAAAGGACGAGUACCUGAAUAGUGUUAUUCCGCAUACGUUACGUAUGUUUUACUGCAUGUUAACAUACUUUAGUAUUUUUAUUUAUAUCUUAUGCCACUUUUCACUUUUACUCCACUAUAUAUCAUUUUAAUUUACUUUAUGCUUUUUGUCAUCAUUAUUAUUAUUAUUACAACUAUUACGAGUGAGGUUAACAUUUACUUUAAAGGACAAGUGCCUGUAAUUAUUCCACGUGCGUUACGUAUGUUUUACAGCAAGUACUUCAGUAUUUUUUGACAUUUUUCAAUUUUACCCCACAUGUCACGUGUCAGUAAUAUAUUGUAUGUUUAUUUCACAGUUUUUAUUUACAAGUUCCUUAACUUACCAUCAACACUUCUGUAUUUUUGGAUUGUAUUUGAGUAUUUUUAUCGUUACUCUAGUGAAAUAUCUGUGUGUGUCUGCACCUCAUUAAAGGUCGACGUCAGAGAAAACCUGAGUGAAUUACAGCUUAAUGUCGACGAUGAACGAGUGUUUUCAUCAGCUCGCUCGAUGUCUGACGUUAAUAAAAGGUCACGCUGCUGUUUCCUGUUUCUCUGCUCCUUCAAACUAAACUUCCCUCAGCAAACAGCAGCUCUUCAAUGACCCGGUUGCACGUACGCAUCGUAAAUCCGACCCGGCAGAACUGGAGUGCAUCUUGUUUUCAGGUUCCUGCGUUUGAUGUAUUUGCUCUCUGAGUGCCUCUCACUUCUGAAGGCCGUGCUGGCUGAAUCUGGGGCCUCUCCUUGAAACAAACGGCGAUAGGGAAUCUCUUUGUCGGGGCCGUGCCUAAGCCUAAUCUAAUGAUUCAGAUGACUGGGGGCCGUACUUAGUCGGAUAGCCACUGGCUCGCUUCAAACAAGCCGCUACGGGUGGAAGUUUCCCAAGGAUUAACACUUAAAGAAGCAGCGGAGGAAAAAAAAAAAGAAGAAGAAAAAAGAGAGCCGGUGCCUUCCAGGGAAUCCCCAUUAAGUCGAGUCUUGGAGUGCCAGAGAGGAAUGUGGUUCUGCUGAGCUGUGAUCCAGGUCAGUUUCAGCACUAAUGGAAAGAAAAAAAAAAAAAAAAACCCUCCUCGGACCAAACGACACAAACAUGCAGAUGAGAUUCAGUUCUCUCUGCGGAGUCACGACGCAGGAAACAAAACAGCUGAAAGCUGCUGAUGGAAGUCGACGGUUCAGCAGGUGUCAAAACAAAGACGUUUGGUUUAACGUCAAAGUUAGAAUUUACAGAUUUAUUACAGAUUCAUUUACAGCAUGUAAGCGUUCAGUUAACAGCCGCUCGGGGUGACGUCGACUCAGUUUAGAAAACCUGAGAAAUAAAGACGCAGAGUCACGAUUCUUCAAGUAUGUAAGAAAGUCUGAGGCAGCAGAACGCGUCUGUACUUCUGAGUCUUAAUGUAGGAUCAGAGAACCUCUCACACCACCGUAUACAUGGUGAAAUACACAAGUUUACAGUAAAUAUUGAUUGUCCAGUGUUGUAACAGUCAUACUUGAGUAAAAGCAAAGAUAUCGAAUUAGAAUAUUACUUUGUUAAACGUGAGUCACCUGUAAAAAUAGAAGCAUAAAGCAGCAGGAAGAGGAAAUACUGAAGAAGUACAAGCACCUAAAACUUGUUCAGUAGCUGAGUAAAUGUACUUAGUUAUAUUCUGUUACUGCUACUUUCUGUGUUGAGUACAGUUUUGAUGUCCACUAUGUUAAUGUACAUAAUAUAUUGUGAUGUUUUGCUUGUUUUGAGUUAUUUCACAGAUUAUAUUUACGAGUUCAUUAACUGAACAUCGAAGAGUUUCUGGAAAUCUGGUCAGCGAUGAUUCCCAACAUCUCCACCGGCUGAAUAAAUGCUGCUGUAUUUGACGUGCUGUCAGAUCCAAUCAGACGAUCCAUCCUCUCGUCCAAAUAUGGUCACUUCUGGAUCUAAAAUAAAAAACAAGAAGCCGUCAGCUGUGAUGCUAAACUCGACUCUAUUUGAAGGUUCGGUAUCAUCGAGGCGACGAGCGGGUCGGGAGGCUUCGACUGGACCUUCAGGCGGCUCGGAGAGGAGAGAGGUCGAAGUGUUGAUCCCCUGAUGGAAACUCCUGUUGAUGGUAUAAUAUCUGUGUCCAUGACGACCGGUCUCUCCAGGUGACGCGAUGACUCGCUGCUCUACAGGAGGCAGGUUUACAGCUGGGGAUGACAUCAUCACUUGACCGCCGUUAGUGAACGACAGUCUGACGCUGUUUUGUAGGGAUGUUUGCUGAAGACUCUGUGACUUUUCCUUAAGUUUAUUUAUUUUAUUUUGUAUCUAAAUUCCCAGAGACACUGACGACAACGACACCAGCGCAGCGAGUUAAAGAAAUCGCGUCACGUAAUCGCCUCGCUCUUUCUGCCGGACGCCAGACAGACAUGACUGCGACUUCUCAAACGUAUGAAUCUAGUAACGUUACUGUUGUCUGGUCUUGUCGGGCGUCUCUGUGGGACGACGAUCUGUUUAGUUGUCGGACUGAACGCCAUCACGCAGUUACGACCUUCACACAGACGGCGAAGAGCAAGAGUCCCAACUUGAGAAGGUCGCGCUCCGGUUCUAUACAGGGAAGUAUCAUAACGAGGAGGAGGAGGAUGAAGGCCGCGGCGCUGUGACCCGGACCGACGCAGCGUUCUGAUCCGAGGUGACAGACUGCAAAUUCCUCACAUUGCUGUGUUGAUCCGAGCAGUGGAAGCAGCUCUCCGGCCUUCAGACGGAGGACGACUCGGCGCUUUCUUUCCUCCGUCUUCACUGUCAGCCAUUAAUCGGCGUGCAGACAGCCGGUUCUGGCCCGGCACCAGCACUUUAGGGCGUUUUCUAUCAGCGCCAUUCCAGGCAGAUGGUGGAGUAAGUGUGAUUGGCAGGAGAAGUGGAAGAAGCGGCGGCGGAGCGGAUACUGUUGCCAGGGAGCGUUGGGAGUGGGGGGGGGGGGAUAAGAGGGUACGGUGAACGAGGGGGGGUUGUGGGGCGUGACCGGUCUUAAUUAUCCCAAAGGGUUGCCAAGUGUUGGCGCUCUGACAAGGUUUCAGAGCCGAGCGACGCUGUUCGAACUCCACUGAGGAGCCCAGAGUCGUGAUUUGUUCGGGGGGAAGGUUUCUGGUUCCAACGUGUAAGUGACGAAUGUGUUUCUGUUUGUGGACAUCAGCAGUUCUGUUGAAACGCACAACAGCAGAGGGAAGUAUCCAGCGGUCGCUAUCAGGAGAGCAUCUGAGUUUUAAUCCGGGUGGAGAUGAGUUUCCCCGAUCCGCCCUGCAAAUCCCCGCUGGAAUGUGGCCGCGUGCACGUCGCCUCCACUGAGAUACGGAUCGACUGACGAGGCCUGCGGGACGACUCUCGCCGAGCAGAUGAACAAAACCAACCGCCCUCCGGGUGGAGAUACCGCAGGUGCGGCGUAAAACUGCCCGGAGAGGCACCAAAAUGGCGGAUGGGUGUUGGGUUCAUAGGGGCGAAGAGGAAGACAGCGGCGGCUCGGAGACGCCAGGCCGCCGCGGUCCCUCCCCUGCCUCUCACGCGAGGAGGAGGAGAUAACCAGCCAUCACAGGUGAGAUCACCAACACCGGGUUCACGCUGAGGUCAGGAGAAGCUCCCACAAUGCCCCUUGUUUCCAGAGAACACACCGGCAUUGACCAUGGCGGCAAGAAAAACCGUCGCUCCGAUUGCAAUCGCGCUUCCUCUCCGCUGUCUGUGUUGUUGUUGUGGCGCUUGCACAGUAUUCAUAAUCCCCACAUCGUCGGUCCGCCAGCCAUAACAAACAAGCGAGGAGCUGCGGCGCCGACGCCAGCCGGCCCCGAAAUGGUCACAGUCGGUUCUGACGACCGAACGGACGCGUUUGUCCUCAUAAGUUCAGCGGAGGGGCGAUGAAAGCUGCAGCUCAACGCUCAGAAAACCACAUUCCCCACAUUCCUCCUGAGUCCUGACAGCCGGAGCUGCUGACAGACGGCGUCACUGAGGCUCUAAUUACUGCUGAUGCAAAUAUCAGCAUCAACACGCUGCUUUUGUCUGUCUGGUGUGUUUAUGAUGCAUCUGAACGACGUGUCGACAGGGUGAGAACCUUACUGAGGUGAAACUGACAGAUUUCACAACAGAGAGCAAAAAAACCCUGAAAACAUUUGAUCAAUUAUCUUUUGAUGUGAACACAAACUUCUUCUCUGAAGUUGGAUCAAUUUACAGAGAUUUCUGUAUUUUUAGUGCGAAAAGUUACUGAAUUUCAUGAUUUGGCUGGAACUUCUUAUAACUGAUUUUAAAGGGAAUCUUCUGCAGUUUAUUUUCUGUAAAAGUCACCAAAUAAUCAUGAACUGUCUGAAUUAAAGUGUG